Molecule: long non-coding RNA, 2543 nt
Filed under: Mytilus galloprovincialis (Mediterranean mussel)
Lineage: Eukaryota; Metazoa; Mollusca; Bivalvia; Mytilida; Mytilidae
Source: RNAcentral
AACAGUAGGACAACCAGAAGUGCCUGAGUAAGGAUUUCGGUGCUCAGUGAUACGGUUCACUAGACGACGUUGUCAACACGUAAUGGCGGCCAUUAUUUGACGUUGGAUUUGGCAUUCCACACUGAAAAGUUGCAUUUAUGACAUUCUUGGAUGCUUAAACUUUAUGCUAAACAACACAAAAGGUAAAGGUUUAUUCCAUAUAUCUCAGUAUUCAUUAUCAAAUAAGUCGGAUCAUAAGAAAUGAUUUAAACGGCAAAAAAAGUGUAAAACUAUAUCAAACAUGAAAAUUGAUAUCUAAUUUUUCAUCAUUUCCUUUUCAUAUACAAGUAUUGAAUCAACUAUUUACUGGUGAAUUACAUUCGGAUUUCGGUCUAAGGUAUCCGCCCUUGUCUCCGGAAAUAUUAUACCAACACAAGCUGUCAACAUCCGUUUUCAAACUGGUCAAGUGUUCUUCUCAAUCUCCCUGGAAAAUAUUCACGCUAUCACUUCUUGCUCAGAUAAUAGAAAAUUGUAAACCUCUUACUGCAAAUACGGACCAUAAUGAAUCAAAUUCGAAAGCACGUAUGAUCAGGCUUUAUGCCGAUUUGGAAGUUCUCUAAAAAGGAUUAUAAUUUCAAGGCCCAAAAAUAUAGGCAACUGAGGCUAAACAAAUUUUGAUGAAUGGCUCGGGUUCAACUCAAAAGUCCAUGUAUUAAAUCAUUGGAAUGUAAGACAUAUUCACUUUCACUGUUGGCUAUUUUAUACCUGGUAUAAUAUUGCAUUUGGAAAAAAAUAUUUGUGUCCCUGAUUUCAUAUAGUGCACCAAAAUGUAAUAGUUAUAAAAAUUAAAUCUGUCAUAAACAUGAAAUGCAAUGGGAAAUCGAUCACAGGCACAGACUCCUCUUUCUUCAUAUACAAAAAAAAAAAAAAAAAAAUUAGAUAGCCAUCCUCUAAAUUCAUAUCUCACAUACAUUUUAAAAGAAAUUUACACAUUGAAAUUAACCACUGGCAUUGAAUCAUCCACCCGUUUGAGAGCUUACACAUGCAUUAACAUGUAACUCCAUGACUAUUACAAAUUUAAUAUGCCUGUACAAUGUCUUUAUAUCCAUCAUGUUAUAUUAUUCCUAAAGGCUAUAGUCUUAUAUAUAUAAACAUUAUUUAGAAAAAUUAUGAUAAUCCAUCGACAAUCUUAAUUACUUUCAGAAAAUGUACUCCAACUUCAUUAAUAUCAUAAUAUCAUUAAAUUAAUGGUGUUAUGACAGUGGUAGUUCAUGGAUUUAAUUUAACACUAGGUUGUGAGUACCCCCAAAAUGUAUAAAAUUUCAGCUUGCAUUGUACAAUGGACAUGCUAGAUAUUUAUGUACACUAUUAUAAUAUGUUUCCUUUGCCUGUAACUUUUAUGUAUUGAGCAGAAAUGCUAGAGGCAUAAUCAUUUAUAAUACAUAAUAAAUAUAUAAAAUUGAGAAUGGAAAUGGGUAAUGUGUCAAAGAAAUAGCAACCCAACCAAAGAGCAAAAGUCGACGGCCACCAAUGGGUCUUGAUUGGAGCAAGAAAAUAUGUUAUUUCUUUGUAAUUUAUUUGGCAAAUUUGUAUUCAUGUGUUGAUAAUAACAAUGCAAAGUUUAAUUUUGCUUUGAAUGAUUUAGUAUAUUUAAUUGAUUUAGUAAUUGUAUGUGCAUUUGCUUUAUAUUUACAGGAUGGAGAAAAAUGUUUACUAUGAAUCAAAAAUUCAAAACAGAGGACUUUUAUAUAUCAACAAAAACACUUGCAGUACAUGCACAUGUAUGUAUCUACAGCAGAAAAAAGUAUUAUGGAAUGUCAACGAUGAGUAUGUUAAAAGCAAAAAUUUUGUAAAUAGAAAACAUAUGACUAGAAUAUAUUAAGGUAAGUAUCCAAAUGUGUUCGGUCAGGUAACAACGUGCGGUUUUUACAGUACGCAUGAUUUCAAUCCCACAAAUAUGAAACAAUAACAUGAUAGACAUUAGGGAUUAAAACUAUUUUGAUAAGGCAAUAGGCUAAAAAUAGUUUACAUUUAACACUCAGACAAGAAAAUUGCCAAUGGAAUAAAUUGGAAUGGAAGUUAAAAUUUAUAGUUUUGAUAUAGGUCAAAGAAUUAUACACAGAAAUUAAGGCCAAAUGGUAAACUUUAAAUUGUUUAAUGAUUUUAUACUAUUAUCUAUGCUGUAUAAUUUCAAAAUAGUUUCAUUUGGAUUUAAAACCUAAUUUCAAGAACGAAGGGUGCAGUUAUUUAAAAUUAAUUUAUAAAGAUAAAAAAUAAUAUAAGGGAAUUAACUCUUACAUGAUGUGCAUCAUAUUCAUGAGAAUGAAGUGUUUUAAUAAACAUGACCAUUUAUUUCAGAUAAGAGAAUGAAUUAAGCAGACCAUAUUUGGGUCAACGAUGCCAAUAACAAUGAAAUAAUAAAUUAUAAUAUCCUUCAUCAUACUUUUCACUUGGAUCAACAAACUAAUUUAUACAAAUUCUUAUUUUUAUUGUCAGUACACAACAUAUCCUGACAGAAGAAUAAUUUUACUGGAGGAUGAAAAUUUUGAUACCUCGAAUCAGCA